This 439-nucleotide long non-coding RNA is filed under the name Ananas comosus (pineapple). RNAcentral's name for it is "long non-coding RNA (ACOM_LNC028471)". Lineage: Eukaryota; Viridiplantae; Streptophyta; Magnoliopsida; Poales; Bromeliaceae. The record is from RNAcentral.
AUUGCUUUGGAUUCUCCAAAGAAAAUAAAUAAAUAAAGAAAAAUUUUCAAGUAUCAUUCCUGUAGUUUUGUAUUUUCUCGCUUUAGUACUAUGUGAUUUAAAGUGUAUCACUUUCGUACGUACCUUAUGUUUUUAUUUUUUAUUUUUUUUGUUAUUCCCUCCACUAAUUUUUUUCGUUAAAUACGCGACAAAGUUAAAACUAAAGGGUAUUAAAGUAAAUAUUCGAUAAACUAUAUGUAGAGUAUCUGAAGUUUUUUGUAUUUGAUUUAACGAAAAAUUAAUGAAUGGGCUGACAAAAAGGAAAAAAAAAAAUGAAAUAAUAUGAUACUAAAUUAAUACACUUUAAAUCAUAGGAUGUUAAAGUGAAAAAGUAUGAAAUCACGGAAAUGGUAUUUGAAGUUUACCCAUAAAUAAAUAAAUAAAUGAAAUGUUGUUUGUA